This 449-nucleotide ribosomal RNA is filed under the name uncultured bacterium. RNAcentral describes it as "bacterial SSU rRNA". It matches the Rfam family "Bacterial small subunit ribosomal RNA", at positions 329 to 798 of the family's 1533-position model. The record is from RNAcentral.
GCCCAGACUCCUACGGGAGGCAGCAGUGGGGAAUAUUGCACAAUGGGGGAAACCCUGAUGCAGCAACGCCGCGUGAGUGAAGAAGUAUCUCGGUAUGUAAAGCUCUAUCAGCAGGGAAGAAAAUGACGGUACCUGACUAAGAAGCCCCGGCUAACUACGUGCCAGCAGCCGCGGUAAUACGUAGGGGGCAAGCGUUAUCCGGAUUUACUGGGUGUAAAGGGAGCGUAGACGGUGUGGCAAGUCUGAAGUGAAAGCCCGGGGCUCAACCCCGGGACUGCUUUGGAAACUGUCAUGCUGGAGUGCUGGAGAGGUAAGCGGAAUUCCUAGUGUAGCGGUGAAAUGCGUAGAUAUUAGGAGGAACACCAGUGGCGAAGGCGGCUUACUGGACAGUAACUGACGUUGAGGCUCGAAAGCGUGGGGAGCAAACAGGAUUAGAUACCCGCGUACAC